This 441-nucleotide ribosomal RNA is filed under the name Salmonella enterica subsp. enterica serovar Infantis. RNAcentral's name for it is "partial 23S ribosomal RNA". It matches the Rfam family "Bacterial large subunit ribosomal RNA", at positions 161 to 584 of the family's 2925-position model. The record is from RNAcentral. Lineage: Bacteria; Pseudomonadati; Pseudomonadota; Gammaproteobacteria; Enterobacterales; Enterobacteriaceae.
AAUCCAUAGGUUAAUGAGGCGAACCGGGGGAACUGAAACAUCUAAGUACCCCGAGGAAAAGAAAUCAACCGAGAUUCCCCCAGUAGCGGCGAGCGAACGGGGAGGAGCCCAGAGCCUGAAUCAGCAUGUGUGUUAGUGGAAGCGUCUGGAAAGGCGCGCGAUACAGGGUGACAGCCCCGUACACAAAAGCGCAUGUGCUGUGAGCUCGAUGAGUAGGGCGGGACACGUGGUAUCCUGUCUGAAUAUGGGGGGACCAUCCUCCAAGGCUAAAUACUCCUGACUGACCGAUAGUGAACCAGUACCGUGAGGGAAAGGCGAAAAGAACCCCGGCGAGGGGAGUGAAAAAGAACCUGAAACCGUGUACGUACAAGCAGUGGGAGCCCCACCACCAAAGCAUUCUCUGGUGUUGAAGGCCCUGCAAAGCAGCAUCGCGGUGGCGGA